Molecule: non-coding RNA, 125 nt
Filed under: uncultured Stichotrichia
Lineage: Eukaryota; Ciliophora; Spirotrichea
Source: RNAcentral
AAUCAAGCAGCUUUGGACUCUGUUCAACGCUGGGUAGCGGACAAUAAUAUUAAUUGCGCUGACUUAAACCCAUAUGCUCUUGACCAUAGACUUACCAUGCUGCGCUAUCUCCGUGCCAACAAUUU